AUUGAACGCUGGCGGCAUGCUUUACAUAUGCAAGUCGAACGGCAGCGCGGGCUUCGGCCUGGCGGCGAGUGGCGAACGGGUGAGUAAUGCAUCGGAACGUGCCCAGUAGUGGGGGAUAGCCCGGCGAAAGCCGGAUUAAUACCGCAUACGACCUGAGGGUGAAAGCGGGGGACCGAAAGGCCUCGCGCUAUUGGAGCGGCCGAUGUCGGAUUAGCUAGUUGGUGGGGUAAAGGCUUACCAAGGCGACGAUCCGUAGCUGGUCUGAGAGGACGACCAGCCACACUGGGACUGAGACACGGCCCAGACUCCUACGGGAGGCAGCAGUGGGGAAUUUUGGACAAUGGGGGCAACCCUGAUCCAGCCAUGCCGCGUGCGGGAAGAAGGCCUUCGGGUUGUAAACCGCUUUUGUUCGGGAAGAAAUCCUCUGGGCUAAUACCUCGGGGGGAUGACGGUACCGGAAGAAUAAGCACCGGCUAACUACGUG
RNAcentral lists this ribosomal RNA (484 nucleotides) under uncultured bacterium. RNAcentral describes it as "partial 16S ribosomal RNA". It matches the Rfam family "Bacterial small subunit ribosomal RNA", at positions 28 to 507 of the family's 1533-position model. The record is from RNAcentral.